CUGUACUGUAUAUGCAUUUCUGUGCUUAACAACCACUUUCUUACAGAAGCAGAAAUCGUGUGUUGACUGAGAAUGCAUGACAUAUGAACCUAGUCCUCAAACAACAAGAAGAACCACAGCAAUUGGAAGGAUCUUGAAUUACAGCAUGAGGAGGGUUGUUAAAACAAAAGCUGAGCGUCACAUCAGAAAGACUCGCUCACAGCAGCGUCCCUGUGCCAGGUGAACAGAAUGGCUUUGUGUCGGUCUGCCAGCCUCCUCACCGUUGCACAGAAAGCAACAGAAUGCUGCAGAGUCUGCUGUGAUGAUUAGCACUGCGUCACACACCGGCUUCAGAUCGCCGCAGACGUGACAGCAUGGCUGAAAGUCACGGCAUCAAAGGAAGCGAUAUUAAUGCUGAAGGUCAGAACAUCAAUUCAGGCUGUUCUGCAAAAUUCCCAGUGAAGGACAGAGGCGCGGGUGUGUGUCAGGUGAACGGGAUCGGGUUCUGAAUGAAAGACUCGGAAGACGCACUUCAGGGAGAGGGUGCUUGCUUUCCAGGUCAUUAUUCAAACUCGACGUGAGAUCAGUUCAGCUGUGUUCAUGUUGAAGUGUCACGUAAGCCUGUUUCAAGGCCCAUUUACAAAAACACACUUUAUGAAUGAAAAAAAAAAAGUCAC
Molecule: long non-coding RNA, 656 nt
Organism: Cyprinus carpio (common carp)
Lineage: Eukaryota; Metazoa; Chordata; Actinopteri; Cypriniformes; Cyprinidae
Exons: 3
Source: RefSeq, a predicted model, not a curated record